CGCCUGGGAGUUCGGGGUGGCUGGCGUGGGGCCCCCGCCCGCCCGCCCUGCCCGAGGCGGGGCCGACCCUGGGGGCCCCGCCCUGUCCGCGGGGCGCCGGCGCGGGGUGGGGGGCGCGCCCGGGGAGCGCGGGAAGGUGGGGAGCCCGAGGGGCUGGCGGACCUGGCCCGGGUGCCGCGCCCGCCAGGCUGCAGCGCUCCUAGAAGUGCCCCCUGAGGGUCCCGCCUGUGCGUGGCCCCGAGCCCGCGGCGCGGUCCUCCGGCCCGGGUGUGCGCCGAGCUCCGCGCGGAGCCUGCCCGCGGGCCUGGCCGGGCCGGCCGGCCGGGCCGCAGCCGCGCCGCUCCCAGCCCCGCAUGCCCCGGGCCGCUGCUCUGCUCCGGGGAAGCUGACCAGGCCGCCAGCCUCCUGGGCCUUUAGUUGCGGCCAUUGCUUCCCGGCCUGCAGCGCUCCCUCGCCCCAGAGUAAGACAUCGGGAACCCAGGAGGGGAGGACAGGCCAGUCCCCCUCCCAGGGAGGCGAGGCAGGUAGGAGGCAACAAGGCUCAGUCGCUGAGGAUGGGGUCUCCGAGCACCUGGGCGAGCACCUGGGCAUGUGGUCCGUGGGCCUGGCCUGGGGCUGGGGUUCUGGGGGGAAGGUGGGCAGCGGGGUGGAGUGGAAGGGGUUGCAUGGCUGGCUUCCUGUGCAGACCUGCAGCUGGUUCUAACAUGAGCAGAUACAUAUUAAACAGACAUCCCAUCCCCGCGGCCUGUUCUGUUCGGGAAGGGGAGCGGAGGGGAGGAGGGGAGCCAGUCUUUUGACGUCCCCCCUCGCCCCCCACCACGAGGAAGUUCUGUUUCCCUCUCUUCGUUCAUCUUUGCAGUUUUAUGUUUCAGACGUCCCUGCUCACAGUCUGGGUGUCGCAGGUGCUGCUCGGGGUCCCUGGGCCCAUGUGGCCAGAGCCUGCCUGGUGGCAGAGGCAGAUGGAAAGAAGACACAGUGGCCAUCUGUCUGUACAUCCCCAUUGGCCUCAUUGGCCUCCACCCAGAUGCCUCUGGGGGGAACUGGGGUUCGUUUCCCAUCUAGUAUGUUCCAGAGGUUUGACAGGAUGAAAGCCAGAGGCUUUUUCCCCACAGGGAAUAAGAAGCGGGCAGGGGGGCAGCGGGGGGAGAAUUUCUAAUCUUGCCAGUCUGGGGAAUUUGGGGGCCAAGUGUCAGGAAACCCGUUAAAGCAUCGUUGUAAUGCCUUAGUGAGUUGUUUUAAUAAAUCACAUCUUUUCACUGUAAGAGUAAUACUCGUUCAUUAGAGUUUGAGAAAGUGAAUCUAAUUAAUAACCUAACUACGUGGAGAUGUGGACUAUAACUGUCUUGGCGUGUUUCUUCCCAGUUUUUAAAUAGUGCUUGAUGAACAUUUCUGAUGAUAUGAUAGCCACCCCCCACCCCUUAUCCGCAGGGGACACGCUCCAAGACCCCUAUUGGCCUCCUGAAACCAUGGGCAUUGCGGACCCAUACACAGGCUGUUCACUCCGGUACAUACACACCUGUGAUUAAGCUUGGCUGGUAAACUAGGCCGAGGUCGAGAGUGACGAUAACAUAAUAAAAUAGCCUGGUAGUAACGGCAUGCUGUGCUGUGGUUACGUGGCUGUGGUCUUGCUCUCCUGUCGCCCUGUGCUCACCCCUCUAGGAUGCCGAGGGGUACAGGCAUGGGAUGCGUUGGGGGGCUGCUGCUGGCCUGAGCGUCUGGCAGAAGCGCCUGCCUCUGGACCGUGGCCACGGCAGGAACAGAGGUGGGGGGCUGCUUGGAAGUGUCCUUGGAAGUGACCUUAGUGUGUCGUCCAGGAUCUUCAUGGGAAGAACAAGAAGCAGCAUCAGUUUUUCAUCAAAACUCUCCUGUCAAGACUCCUGGAUGGCUCUGUUGGUCAAGUGUCUGACUCUUGGUUUCGGCUCAGGUCCUGAUGUCCUGAUCUCGGGGUGGUGGGAUUGGGCCUCACAUUGGGCUCUACAUUCAGCGUGGAGUCUGCUUGAAAUUCUCUCUUCCUCUCCCUCUGCCCCUCUUCCCCUUGCUCCUGCCUCUAAAAUAAAUAAAAUAAAUCUUUAAAAACAAAUACACGACAAA
Long non-coding RNA from Nyctereutes procyonoides (raccoon dog), 2091 nucleotides. RefSeq lists it as uncharacterized. The transcript is spliced from 2 exons. Lineage: Eukaryota; Metazoa; Chordata; Mammalia; Carnivora; Canidae. The record is from RefSeq and is a predicted model, not a curated record.